AUGAGUCCUAGCCUAACUGGUGCGGUGAUCUUGCCGGCGAUUGGCACAACAGGAGGGGCACUGCUGGCCUGGGACGCAUAUAGAUUCGAGGUGGACACGGCAGACAUCUCCGCGUUCGCCAUCAUAGUCCUCGUCAAGCCGCGGACUGGCGAAUCCCCCUGGGCGCUCACCACCGUCUAUGGCCCGGCCGACGAUAGCAUAAAACCGUUGUUCCUUGCCGAUUUGGUGAGGAUACAUGGGCUGAUCGCUGUGCAAUGGCUGCUCAUAGGGGAUUUCAACCUCAUCUACGAGGCUCGCGACAAGAGUAAUUCCAACCUCAAUCUCAACUUGAUGGCACAAUUCCGAUCGGCCUUAAACGCCAGCGCCCUAGUUGAGAUCAAGCUAUACGGCAGACGUUUCACCUGGUCAAACGAUCAGCGAGACCCCACGCUCGUCCGGUUAGAUCGUGCAUUUUGCUCGCCAGACUAG
RNAcentral lists this ribosomal RNA (468 nucleotides) under Triticum aestivum (bread wheat). Its description in RNAcentral is "partial small subunit ribosomal RNA". The record is from RNAcentral. Lineage: Eukaryota; Viridiplantae; Streptophyta; Magnoliopsida; Poales; Poaceae.